RNAcentral lists this long non-coding RNA (419 nucleotides) under Daucus carota (carrot). Its description in RNAcentral is "long non-coding RNA (DCAR_LNC000625)". The record is from RNAcentral. Lineage: Eukaryota; Viridiplantae; Streptophyta; Magnoliopsida; Apiales; Apiaceae.
UUUAAGGCCAGUUUCGAAGGGUAUGCGGCUGGCAUUGCGAAAGGGGUGGCUCCGAAGGCGAGAUUGGCGGUUUAUAAGGUAUGUUGGAAGAGUUCUGGUUGUUUUGAUAGUGAUAUUUUAGCUGCUUUUGAUGCUGCUGUUAAUGAUGGUGUGAAUGUGAUUAGUAUUAGUAUUGGUGGUGGGGAUGGGAUAUCGUCGCCUUAUUAUCUUGAUCCUAUUGCGAUUGGGUCGUUUGGGGCGGUGUCGAGGGGGGUGUUUGUUUCGUCGUCUGCAGGGAAUGAUGGGCCUAAUGGGAUGUCGGUGACGAAUGUGGCUCCGUGGAUUAUGACGGUGGGUGCGGGGACGAUUGAUAGGAAUUUCCCAGCUGAUGUAAUUUUGGGGGAUGGGAGGAAGAUCAGCGGGGUUUCGUUGUAUUCGGG